AGAGACAGCAGUAGCCGCGGUAAUACGUAGGGGGCAAGCGUUGUCCGGAAUUAUUGGGCGUAAAGGGCUCGCAGGCGGUUUCUUAAGUCUGAUGUGAAAGCCCCCGGCUCAACCGGGGAGGGUCAUUGGAAACUGGGAAACUUGAGUGCAGAAGAGGAGAGUGGAAUUCCACGUGUAGCGGUGAAAUGCGUAGAGAUGUGGAGGAACACCAGUGGCGAAGGCGACUCUCUGGUCUGUAACUGACGCUGAGGAGCGAAAGCGUGGGGAGCGAACAGGAUUAGAGACCCUGUAGUCCCUGUCUCUUAUACA
RNAcentral lists this ribosomal RNA (309 nucleotides) under uncultured bacterium. RNAcentral's name for it is "partial 16S ribosomal RNA". It matches the Rfam family "Bacterial small subunit ribosomal RNA", at positions 504 to 808 of the family's 1533-position model. The record is from RNAcentral.